GAUGAACGCUGGCGGCGUGCUUAACACAUGCAAGUCGAACGGUGAAGGCGGAGCUUGCUCUGCUGGAUCAGUGGCGAACGGGUGAGUAACACGUGAGCAAUCUGCCCCUGACUCUGGGAUAAGCGCUGGAAACGGCGUCUAAUACUGGAUACGAGCUGCGAAGGCAUCUUCUGCAGCUGGAAAGAACUUCGGUCAGGGAUGAGCUCGCGGCCUAUCAGCUUGUUGGUGAGGUAACGGCUCACCAAGGCGUCGACGCGUAGCCGGCCUGAGAGGGUGACCGGCCCCACUGGGACUGAGACACGGCCCAGACUCCUACGGGAGGCAGCAGUGGGGAAUAUUGCACAAUGGGCGAAAGCCUGAUGCAGCGACGCCGCGUGGGGGAUGACGGCCUUCGGGUUGUAAACCUCUUUCAGCAGGGAAGAAGCGAAAGUGACGGUACCUGCAGAAGAAGCACCGGCUAACUACGUG
This 468-nucleotide ribosomal RNA is filed under the name uncultured bacterium. RNAcentral describes it as "partial 16S ribosomal RNA". It matches the Rfam family "Bacterial small subunit ribosomal RNA", at positions 28 to 507 of the family's 1533-position model. The record is from RNAcentral.